This 393-nucleotide ribosomal RNA is filed under the name Actinomycetota bacterium. RNAcentral describes it as "partial 23S ribosomal RNA". It matches the Rfam family "Bacterial large subunit ribosomal RNA", at positions 2533 to 2925 of the family's 2925-position model. The record is from RNAcentral. Lineage: Bacteria; Bacillati; Actinomycetota.
CGGCUCGUCGCAUCCUGGGGCUGGAGUAGGUCCCAAGGGUUGGGCUGUUCGCCCAUUAAAGCGGCACGCGAGCUGGGUUUAGAACGUCGUGAGACAGUUCGGUCCCUAUCCGCCGCGCGCGCAGGAAACUUGAGAAGGCCUGUCCCUAGUACGAGAGGACCGGGAUGGACGAACCUCUGGUGUGCCAGUUGUUCCGCCAGGAGCACGGCUGGUUGGCUACGUUCGGAAGUGAUAACCGCUGAAAGCAUCUAAGCGGGAAGCGCGCUUCAAGAUGAGGUUUCCCACUGGUUCAACCAGGUAAGGCCCCCAGCAGAUCACUGGGUACAUAGGCCGGAGGUCGAAGGCAGAGAUGCACGGAGCCGACCGGUACUAAUAGGCCGAGGGCUUGUCUCU